This is a regulatory RNA element of Oryctolagus cuniculus (rabbit), 87 nucleotides long. It matches the Rfam family "Stem loopII regulatory element in POLB". The record is from Rfam. Lineage: Eukaryota; Metazoa; Chordata; Mammalia; Lagomorpha; Leporidae.
CACAGUGCUGGCCCCUUAGUUUAUUUCUUAACCUUUGCUUUGUAAAUGUCUUUCGUGUUUCUAAGUGAUUUUUUUCUUAUUCAUGCU